UACGUAGGGUGCGAGCGUUGUCCGGAAUUAUUGGGCGUAAAGAGCUCGUAGGCGGCUUGUCACGUCGGAUGUGAAAACCCGGGGCUCAACCCCGGGCCUGCAUUCGAUACGGGCAGGCUAGAGUUCGGCAGGGGAGACUGGAAUUCCUGGUGUAGCGGUGAAAUGCGCAGAUAUCAGGAGGAACACCGGUGGCGAAGGCGGGUCUCUGGGCCGAUACUGACGCUGAGGAGCGAAAGCGUGGGGAGCAAACAGG
This 253-nucleotide ribosomal RNA is filed under the name uncultured bacterium. Its description in RNAcentral is "partial 16S ribosomal RNA". It matches the Rfam family "Bacterial small subunit ribosomal RNA", at positions 524 to 776 of the family's 1533-position model. The record is from RNAcentral.